GUGGGGAAUUUUGCGCAAUGGGCGAAAGCCUGACGCAGCAACGCCGCGUGUGUGAUGAAGGUCUUCGGAUCGUAAAGCACUUUCGACCGGGAAGAAAAAGCGAGUGCUAAUCAGCUCGUGUUGACGGUACCGGGAGAAGAAGCACCGGCUAACUCUGUGCCAGCAGCCGCGGUAAUACAGAGGGUGCAAGCGUUGUUCGGAAUUAUUGGGCGUAAAGCGCGUGUAGGCGGCAUGGCAAGUCGGGUGUGAAAGCCCUCAGCUCAACUGAGGAAGUGCGCCCGAAACUGCUGCGCUUGAGUACCGGAGAGGGUGGCGGAAUUCCCCAAGUAGAGGUGAAAUUCGUAGAUAUGGGGAGGAACACCGGUGGCGAAGGCGGCCACCUGGACGGUCACUGACGCUGAGACGCGAAAGCGUGGGUAGCAAACAGGAUUAGAAACCCUAGUAGUCC
Molecule: ribosomal RNA, 448 nt
Filed under: uncultured bacterium
Lineage: Bacteria
Description: bacterial SSU rRNA
Rfam family: Bacterial small subunit ribosomal RNA
Source: RNAcentral